GAUGAACGCUGGCAGAGUGCCUAAUACAUGCAAGUCUAGCUAACGUUCGGGAAGCUUGCUUUUCUGAUGUUAACGGCGGACGGAUGAGUAACACGUGGAUAACCUACCUAUAGGACUGGGAUAACUUCGCGAAACCUGAGCUAAUACCGGAUAAUAUUUUGAACCACAUGGUUCAACAGUGAAAGACGGUUUUGCUGUCACUUAUAGAUGGAUCCGCGCUGCAUUAGCUAGUUGGUAAGGUAACGGCUUACCAAGGCAACGAUGCAUAGCCGACCUGAGAGGGUGAUCGGCCACACUGGAACUGAGACACGGUCCAGACUCCUACGGGAGGCAGCAGUAGGGAAUCUUCCGCAAUGGGCGAAAGCCUGACGGAGCAACGCCGCGUGAGUGAUGAAGGUCUUCGGAUCGUAAAACUCUGUUAUUAGGGAAGAACAUAUGUGUAAGUAACUGUGCACAUCUUGACGGUACCUAAUCAGAAAGCCACAGCUAACUACGUG
RNAcentral lists this ribosomal RNA (497 nucleotides) under uncultured bacterium. RNAcentral describes it as "partial 16S ribosomal RNA". It matches the Rfam family "Bacterial small subunit ribosomal RNA", at positions 28 to 507 of the family's 1533-position model. The record is from RNAcentral.